GGGAACCCGGUGAACUGAAACAUCUAAGUAGCCGGAGGAAGAGAAAGAAACAUCGAUUUCCUUAGUAGCGGCGAGCGAAAGGGAAAGAGCCCAAACCGAGGGUCUACGGACGUUCGGGGUUCGGACUUGCAAAAAUCGAAGUACUUAUAGACGAAGAGGUUUGGAACUUCCUACCAAAGAGGGUAACAGUCCCGUAGUCGAAAUGAGUACAAGAGGGCGAGAAUCCAGAGUACCACAGGACACGAGUAAUCCGGUGGGAAGACGGGGGGCCCACCCCCCAAGGCUAAAUACUACUUGGUGACCGAUAGCGUAUAGUACCGUGAGGGAAAGGUGAAAAGAACCCCGGGAGGGGAGUGAAAGAGUACCUGAAACCCUAUGUUUACAAGCAGUGGGAGCGAGAGCGACCAUGUACUUUUUGUAGAACGGGCCGGCGAGUUACUGUGUGCAGCGAGGUUAAGUUGUUAAGCAACGGAGCCGAAGGGAUACCGAGUCUGAAAAGGGCGUAAAGUUGCAUGCAGUACACCCGAAACCGGGUGACCUAUCCAUGGACAGGAUGAAGCGACGGUAAGACGUCGUGGAGGUCCGAACCACACGUACGUGAAAAGUGCGGGGAUGAGCUGUGGAUAGCGGAGAAAUUCCAAUCGAACUCGGAGAUAGCUGGUUCUCCCCGAAAUAGCUUUAGGGCUAGCCUCGAUUUAGAUUACCGGGGGUAGAGCACUGAAUGGGCUAGGGGGCCACAAAGCUUACCGAACCCUAUCAAACUUCGAAUACCGGAUAAUUGAUGAUCGGGAGUCAGACAGUGUGAGAUAAGUUUCAUUGUCGAAAGGGAAACAGCCCAGAUCUACGACUAAGGUCCCAAAGUUCAAGUUAAGUGGAAAAGGAUGUGCAAUUGCGUAGACAACCAGGAUGUUGGCUUAGUAGCAGCCAUUCAUUCAAAGAGUGCGUAAUAGCUCACUGGUCGAGUGAUUGUGCGCCGAAAAUGUAACGGGGCUAAACUUGACACCGAAGUCUAGGCAGAAGGAAACUUCUGGGUAGGGGAGCAACGUGUACGGGCAGAAGCAGAAGCGGAAGCGACUGUGGACUGUACAGGAGAGAGAAUGCCGGCAUGAGUAGCGAGAGCAAAGUGAGAAUCUUUGCCGUCGAAAGCCUAAGGUUUCCUGAGGAAGGCUCGUCCUCUCAGGGUAAGUCGGGACCUAAGCCGAGGACAAUAGUCGUAGGCGAUGGACAAUCGGUUAAUAUUCCGAUACCGCCGAGCAACCGGAUGCAGUGACACAGAAGGAUAGGCAGAGCGUGGCGAUGGUAGACCACGUCCAAGCAGUGAGGCUGUUGUGUAGUGAAGUACGCACAACGGAAGGCUGGGCUGUGAUGGGGAACGAUUACGAUCGGUAAGCUGCUGAAUUCACGCUGGCGAGAAAAGCUGCUACGAAGCGAAGGCGCCCGUACCGCAAACCGACACAGGUAGGCGAGGAGAGAAUCCUAAGACGAGCGGGAGAACCCUUGUUAAGGAACUCGGCAAAAUGACUCCGUAACUUAGGGAGAAGGAGUGCCUAGGAAUGGGCCGCAGAGAAUAGACCCAAGCGACUGUUUACCAAAAACACAGGUCUGUGCGAAGUAGAGAUACGACGUAUACGGGCUGACACCUGCCCAGUGCCGGAAGGUUAAGGGGAAAUGUUAGGGCAACCGAAGCAUGGAACUUAAGCCCCGGUGAACGGCGGCCGUAACUAUAACGGUCCUAAGGUAGCGAAAUUCCUUGUCGGGUAAG
RNAcentral lists this ribosomal RNA (1762 nucleotides) under human gut metagenome. RNAcentral's name for it is "bacterial LSU rRNA". It matches the Rfam family "Bacterial large subunit ribosomal RNA", at positions 179 to 1980 of the family's 2925-position model. The record is from RNAcentral.